UCUCAAGGAUGAGCAAAGAAAGAUUUUUUAGAUUCUGGAGAAACUAUCUUCUUUGCUCAUCCUUGAGAA
This is a non-coding RNA of Pongo abelii (Sumatran orangutan), 69 nucleotides long. Lineage: Eukaryota; Metazoa; Chordata; Mammalia; Primates; Hominidae. The record is from Rfam.